Molecule: ribosomal RNA, 253 nt
Filed under: uncultured bacterium
Lineage: Bacteria
Description: partial 16S ribosomal RNA
Rfam family: Bacterial small subunit ribosomal RNA
Source: RNAcentral
UACGGGGGGGGCAAGCGUUGUUCGGAAUUACUGGGCGUAAAGGGCGCGCAGGCGGUCCUUCAAGUCAGAUGUGAAAGCCCCGGGCUCAACCUGGGAACUGCAUUUGAGACUGGAGGACUUGAGGACGGGAGAGGAGAGUGGAAUUCCCAGUGUAGAGGUGAAAUUCGUAGAUAUUGGGAAGAACACCGAUGGCGAAGGCAGCUCUCUGGACCGUUACUGACGCUGAGGCGCGAAAGCGUGGGGAGCAAACAGG